This 505-nucleotide ribosomal RNA is filed under the name uncultured bacterium. Its description in RNAcentral is "partial 16S ribosomal RNA". It matches the Rfam family "Bacterial small subunit ribosomal RNA", at positions 28 to 507 of the family's 1533-position model. The record is from RNAcentral.
GACGAACGCUGGCGGCGUGCCUAAUACAUGCAAGUAGAACGCACAGUUUAUACCGUAGCUUGCUACACCAUAGACUGUGAGUUGCGAACGGGUGAGUAACGCGUAGGUAACCUGCCUGGUAGCGGGGGAUAACUAUUGGAAACGAUAGCUAAUACCGCAUAAUAUUAAUUAUUGCAUGAUAAUUGAUUGAAAGAUGCAACUGCAUCACUACCAGAUGGACCUGCGUUGUAUUAGCUAGUAGGUGAGGUAACGGCUCACCUAGGCGACGAUACAUAGCCGACCUGAGAGGGUGAUCGGCCACACUGGGACUGAGACACGGCCCAGACUCCUACGGGAGGCAGCAGUAGGGAAUCUUCGGCAAUGGACGAAAGUCUGACCGAGCAACGCCGCGUGAGUGAAGAAGGUUUUCGGUUCGUAAAGCUCUGUUGUAAGAGAAGAACGGGUGUGAGAGUGGAAAGUUCACACUGUGACGGUAUCUUACCAGAAAGGGACGGCUAACUACGUG